RNAcentral lists this long non-coding RNA (664 nucleotides) under Panax ginseng (ginseng). RNAcentral's name for it is "long non-coding RNA (PGIN_LNC005254)". Lineage: Eukaryota; Viridiplantae; Streptophyta; Magnoliopsida; Apiales; Araliaceae. The record is from RNAcentral.
UCAUGAUAAUUAGCACACAUUGUUCAAUUAGAAUGUGUUAACUUUUUCACUUAUGUAAUAUUCGAAAUUCAUUCAAGUGUUUAAGUCUUGCUAGGAAUACUUAUGGGUUUUAUAUUAAAUCCAUUCCAUAUCUUAUAUUGUUCAUUAACACUUGUCACGGCGUUUCGACGUUCAUUCGUCACACACCCGAAUCAUCUCUCUUGUGUAUGCUUAGUGUGCUUACAUAACUUAUCUAAUACAUCAUUUAUUAAUGUUAAUCAUCAUUAUAUUUACUAACAUUCAUGUUUUAUAACUUAGGACACCAUCUUUUAUCGUCAUGAGCACUACACUUGCAUAUGUGCAUGUCUGACCCAUGUUCCUGACCUCAAAUUGAACACCUGAAAGAUAGAAAGUUGUAGGGCUAUUCGUCCUCGUUCCGGAUUAUCUUGAAUCAAAUUAAUCGGAGUCCGUAUGAAAAUGUUAUGGCCAUUUUACUUUAGGAAGUCAAAACUGUCCGGCCGUGUCAACUAUUUCGGUGUUGUAGUGCCACAAAUAAUCUUGGGGGCCACGCUGCAGCCCCCCUUAGCAGUAUGUACGCGUUUUUUUUCUCCAGUUUUACUGUUCUUACGAAUUUUUGACCCUUUCUCCUUCCAACCUACAUAACUUGAGUUAUACACACCCAAAU